UGCCACCAUUUAAGGAGUGCAUUUCAUCUCCCACUAUGAUUCUAAGGCCUCCCCAGCCAUGUGGAACUUAGAAACAGAGUUUCACCAUGUUGGCCAAGAUGGUCUCGAUCUCCUGACCUCGUGAUCCGCCCACCUCAGCCUCCCAAAGUGCUGGGAUUACAGGCACGAACCACUGCGCCCGGCCCAAAAUGAAAGGAGCCCCAGGCCUCUCAAAAAGUAUGAAAGAACUGGAAUUCACCAGAUCAUCACAUCCAGACAAUGAGACACCAGGCCCCUCAUUCAUCAUGAUGGCUUCUUUACCCCUAUGGAGUUCCUGUUUUCCCUUAGAUAGUUACAUUUCUUCCCUGCUAUAUAAACCCCUAAUUUUAGUCAAUCCCGAAGACGGAUUUGAGCUUCAGCUCCCAUCUCCUUGGCUGCAGACCUGAUUAAAGCCUUCUUCCGUGGCAGUACUUGUCAUCUCAGUCAUUGACUUUCUGUGCAGCAAGC
Molecule: long non-coding RNA, 486 nt
Filed under: Homo sapiens (human)
Lineage: Eukaryota; Metazoa; Chordata; Mammalia; Primates; Hominidae
Description: HSALNT0313296
Source: RNAcentral